RNAcentral lists this transfer RNA (69 nucleotides) under Ictidomys tridecemlineatus (thirteen-lined ground squirrel). RNAcentral describes it as "Spermophilus tridecemlineatus (thirteen-lined ground squirrel) tRNA". It matches the Rfam family "tRNA". From Rfam's summary of the family: Transfer RNA (tRNA) molecules are approximately 80 nucleotides in length. Their secondary structure includes four short double-helical elements and three loops (D, anti-codon, and T loops). Further hydrogen bonds mediate the characteristic L-shaped molecular structure. tRNAs have two regions of fundamental functional importance: the anti-codon, which is responsible for specific mRNA codon recognition, and the 3' end, to which the tRNAs corresponding amino acid is attached (by aminoacyl-tRNA synthetases). tRNAs cope with the degeneracy of the genetic code in two manners: having more than one tRNA (with a specific anti-codon) for a particular amino acid; and 'wobble' base-pairing, i.e. permitting non-standard base-pairing at the 3rd anti-codon position. The record is from Rfam by way of RNAcentral. Lineage: Eukaryota; Metazoa; Chordata; Mammalia; Rodentia; Sciuridae.
GGGGCUGUAGCUUAGUGGUAGAGCACUUGCCUAGCACGUGCAAGGCCCUGGGUUCAAUCCUCAGCACCA